CUGGAAUGGUUGGUGGGGGGAUCGAUGAGUUGAACUUUCGCUCCACCUCCUCCAAUGAGUGGGAUGAGGAUGCCUAUGUUGGAAGAGGUACUCCCAUCAUCUCUGCCCCAAUUAACUCAAGUAAUAAAGUGUGGAAGGAGGAAAGCAUAAUAUUCAGCAAACAAUCAAGACAAACAGUUACGUAGUCAAAGAUGGAGCUCUCAUGUCCAACGAUCAACAAAAUAAUUGGAGCAAUAGUAGCCUAAAGGUACUCAUGACAG
This 260-nucleotide long non-coding RNA is filed under the name Durio zibethinus. RNAcentral describes it as "long non-coding RNA (DZIB_LNC000386)". Lineage: Eukaryota; Viridiplantae; Streptophyta; Magnoliopsida; Malvales; Malvaceae. The record is from RNAcentral.